Molecule: long non-coding RNA, 430 nt
Organism: Ficedula albicollis (Collared flycatcher)
Lineage: Eukaryota; Metazoa; Chordata; Aves; Passeriformes; Muscicapidae
Exons: 2
Source: RefSeq, a predicted model, not a curated record
CGGCGGCGUUGCUGUUUGCAAUGUUAGUGUUGGUGCUGGCAGGGUCUCUGGAAGCAGAAGAAAAAAAGUCAAACACUUCAUGAUCCUGCCAUUGAGGCAACCAUGGGGCAGUGGCAUGAGCAAGAGAACUAACAGAUCCCAAAUGCGAGUCCCACUAUCAGGAUAUUUUGUACGCUUCUAGAUGCCUUUGGUUUUUUUUUUGGAGUGUGCGCCCGCUCUUUGGUUACCGGCCCGACGCACCUUUCCGGGGGGAAAGGGGUGAUGCUGUGUCGGAUCAGUGCCAGCGCUCACCUUGGCUUGUGGGGGGGUCCCAGCCUCCACGGCACUGCCACGACUGCAGCGGGGAGCCCGAGCGGGGCCGGCAGGCAGUUCCUUCCCCGAGGAACGGGGACAGAAAAAUUAAAAAAAGAAAAAAAAAAAAAAAAAAAAG